ACGAACGCUGGCGGCGUGCUUAACACAUGCAAGUCGAACGGUGAAGCGCCUUCCUUUUUGGUGGGUGUGGAUGAGUGGCGAACGGGUGAGUAACACGUGAGUAACCUGCCCCCUUCUUCUGGAUAACCGCAUGAAAGUGUGGCUAAUACGGGAUAUUCUGGGUCUGUCGCAUGAUGGGUCUGGGAAAGAUAUUGUUUCGGUGGGGGAUGGGCUCGCGGCCUAUCAGCUUGUUGGUGGGGUGAUGGCCUACCAAGGCGGUGACGGGUAGCCGGCCUGAGAGGGUGGACGGUCACACUGGGACUGAGACACGGCCCAGACUCCUACGGGAGGCAGCAGUGGGGAAUAUUGCACAAUGGGCGCAAGCCUGAUGCAGCGACGCCGCGUGAGGGAUGGAGGCCUUCGGGUUGAGAACCUCUUUCGCCAGUGAAGCAGGCCUGCCUCGUUUGUGGGUGGGUUGACGGUAGCUGGAUAAGAAGCGCCGGCUAACUACGUG
RNAcentral lists this ribosomal RNA (493 nucleotides) under uncultured bacterium. RNAcentral's name for it is "partial 16S ribosomal RNA". It matches the Rfam family "Bacterial small subunit ribosomal RNA", at positions 29 to 507 of the family's 1533-position model. The record is from RNAcentral.